RNAcentral lists this long non-coding RNA (335 nucleotides) under Citrus sinensis (sweet orange). RNAcentral describes it as "long non-coding RNA (CSIN_LNC001052)". Lineage: Eukaryota; Viridiplantae; Streptophyta; Magnoliopsida; Sapindales; Rutaceae. The record is from RNAcentral.
UGGUUGUAUUUUUCGGAACAAUAGGCAGCAGUUGGCACAACAACUUGAGCUACUUGAGGGAAUAGUGGCAUCUGAUUGAGCUUGCGCCAAGCUGACACAGCAUAUUGCUCCGCUUUUGGUUCGUACUUGGAGUAAAGUUCCUUGGCUGCUAGCUCGUACUUGGUGUAAACGGAUUUUGCCAUUCCUGAGGCGGUGCCGGCUACACCGGCAGUCUUCACUUCAGAAGCCACGGAUCGUGCCACUACUGGAGCCAUUUGAGCCGCGGAGAGAGCUUGGGCAGGGACUUGCUUGAGGACUGGAGGCACACGGCAGUCCAGCUUGGUCACAGACUCAUC